Molecule: ribosomal RNA, 492 nt
Filed under: uncultured bacterium
Lineage: Bacteria
Description: partial 16S ribosomal RNA
Rfam family: Bacterial small subunit ribosomal RNA
Source: RNAcentral
AGUGAACGCUGGCGGUAGGCCUAACACAUGCAAGUCGAACGGCAGCACAGUAAGAGCUUGCUCUUAUGGGUGGCGAGUGGCGGACGGGUGAGGUAUACAUCGGAAUCUACUUUUUCGUGGGGGAUAACGUAGGGAAACUUACGCUAAUAUCGCAUACGACCUACGGGUGAAAGCAGGGGAUCUUCGGACCUUGCGCGAUUGAAUGAGCCGAUGUAGGAUUAGCUAGUUGGCGGGGUAAAGGCCCACCAAGGCGACGAUCCGUAGCUGGUGUGAGAGGAUGGUCAGCCACACUGGAACUGAGACACGGCCCUUACGCCUGCGAUAGGCCGCAGUGUGCUAUAGUAGGCAAUGGGGGCGAACCUGAUCCAGCCGGCCCACGUCUGUGGAAAAGACCUUCGGUUUGUAAAGACCUUUUUUUGGGAAUGAAAAGCUGCAGGUUAGUACCCCGCUGUAGUGACGGUACCCAAAGAAUAAGCACCGGCUAACUACGUG